Molecule: long non-coding RNA, 211 nt
Filed under: Rattus norvegicus (Norway rat)
Lineage: Eukaryota; Metazoa; Chordata; Mammalia; Rodentia; Muridae
Description: long non-coding RNA NONRATT011150
Source: RNAcentral
AGGAGUUCCGAUCUCGGUGCAGCAGUGUCACAGGCGUCAUGCAAAAGAAGGUUCCAUCUAACAACCAGAAAACCCAGCCAAGAAGGCGGCACGCAAGCGCACCCAGUCACGUGCAGCCCUCAGACUCGGAGAAGAACCGCACCAUGCUCUUCCAGGUCGGCCGCUUUGAGAUUAACCUCAUCAGUCCAGACACUAAGUCAGUCGUGCUCGA